This 349-nucleotide unclassified non-coding RNA is filed under the name soil metagenome. RNAcentral's name for it is "partial contains 5.8S ribosomal RNA, internal transcribed spacer 2, and large subunit ribosomal RNA". The stretch from base 1 to 120 matches the Rfam family "5.8S ribosomal RNA", at positions 35 to 154 of the family's 154-position model. The record is from RNAcentral.
GAUGAAGAACGUAGCGAACUGCGAUAAGUAAUGUGAAUUGCAGAAUUCAGUGAAUCAUCGAGUCUUUGAACGCACAUUGCGCCCCCUGGCAUUCCGGGGGGCAUGCCUGUCCGAGCGUCAUUGCUGCCCUUCAAGCCCGGCUUGUGUGUUGGGUCGUCGUCCCCCCCGGGGGACGGGCCCGAAAGGCAGCGGCGGCACCGCGUCCGGUCCUCGAGCGUAUGGGGCUUUGUCACCCGCUCGAUUAGGGCCGGCCGGGCGCCAGCCGGCGUCUCCAACCUUCUAUUUUACCAGGUUGACCUCGGAUCAGGUAGGGAUACCCGCUGAACUUAAGCAUAUCAAUAGCGGAGGA